GUGCCAGCAGCCGCGGUAAUACGUAGGGGGCGAGCGUUACCCGGAAUUACUGGGCGUAAAGGGUGCGUAGGCGGCCGUCUGUGUCUGGCGUUAAAAUCCACGGCUCAACUGUGGGUAUGCGCUGGAAACUGCACGGCUUGGUUGCAGCAGAGGCAGACGGAACUGCUGUUGUAGGGUUGAAAUCCGUAGAUAUCAGCAGGAACCCCGGUGAAGAAGUCGGUCCUCCUGGUCUGUACCGACGCUGAGGCACGAAAGCUAGGGGACCAAACCGGAUUAGAUACCCGGGUAGUCC
This 292-nucleotide ribosomal RNA is filed under the name uncultured prokaryote. RNAcentral's name for it is "partial 16S ribosomal RNA". It matches the Rfam family "Bacterial small subunit ribosomal RNA", at positions 505 to 796 of the family's 1533-position model. The record is from RNAcentral.